This is a long non-coding RNA of Capsicum annuum, 655 nucleotides long. RefSeq lists it as uncharacterized. Lineage: Eukaryota; Viridiplantae; Streptophyta; Magnoliopsida; Solanales; Solanaceae. The transcript is spliced from 3 exons. The record is from RefSeq and is a predicted model, not a curated record.
AGACAAUAUUUUUAGGUUGAACACUCUUUGUGAGUUUGUGGGUAUAUCCCUUUGUAUCUACAUUGAAUCUCUCUUGAAUAACUUUUGGUAUUCUUGAAGAAUAACACAAAAAUGAUGACUUAACAUAGAAACAAAUUCAAGAACUGAAAGAAGCAAGUCAAGUUGGAACUACUUCAAGUUCAAAUUCGAGGUCGAAUUCUUUUCAACAAGGGGAAAAUGAUGCAAGUUCGGAAAAGGCUAAUUGCAUGAAAGGAUUCCAACUUGAUAUUGAAAGUUUGGAGUGUUUUGAGAGUGUGUGGAAACCAAAGAAUUAAUACAAGAAAAUAUUUAUAUUAUAUUUUAGGAUACUUUUUGGUCAUAUAUAAUGCACAUGUAACUAAGGACAUUUAUGUCAUUUUCUAUCUUAGCUAACUCUAGUACUAUAAAUAGAAUAGGAUGGACAUUAUCUUAGUUAGAUAAUAUUUUUAGGUCGAAUACUCUAUGGUGAGUUUGUGGGUUUAUCCCUUUGUCUCUAUAUUGGAUCUCUCUUGAAUAUCUUUUAACACUCUAUGGUGAGUUUGUGAGUUUAUCCCUUUGUCUCUAUAUUGGAUCUCUCUCGAAUAUUUUUUGGUAAGAUUAUUCAUGUAUGAGUUUAAUGCUCUUCUCCCUUGAAAUC